AGCGGGGUCAAGGGACAGCCACGCUGGGACGGAGGACGGGGACAGGGGAGCCCCUGCGGCGCCACUUCUUCCUCUCCGAGUCCUGUCUGCCCUUGAUGGAGCCACUGGUGGGGUUACUUGCUGGCGGUCGGCCACUUUCGCCCCUCCCUCGCCAGCCCGCCAGCUCCCUAAGGUUUUGUGGUUUUUUGUCACCACCACACCUCAGUGUUGAGCUAAGUGAGGACGUCCCCCCAGCAAAUGUAUUGGACGGAAGGAAACGCUGUGCGGGAGGAGGCGGAGGAAAGUAGGCCACCCGGGGCUCAAGUGGUGAGAAGAGGCAGCCAGGCAGGGUGGAAGGUGGGGUGUGGCCAGCUUGUUGGGUGUCCCACCCUGUGCUGUUGGGGGCGUGGAGGGUAGUGUGGGGUGGCCAGGGCGGGCUCACGUCCUCAUCCCCCUCCUCUUUCCCAGAACCACACCCAAACCCUCUUCAACCCCCUGUGUGUGGGCUGUGGCAGGGGUCAACCUCUUGUGUUCAGGUCCCCUAGGGGCCCACCCCACUCUACUAGGAACCAGGGGUCGGAUGCUGUCAGGGGAAGCCGUGUGGCUUGAGGAGUCGAGACCCUUUCCAAAUCCACCCCUGUGGAAUCUUGAGCAAAUCCCCACACCCAACUUAGCUUCAGUGUGGUGGAGGUGGGCCCAGCGCCUCUCUUGAGGGAGUGCUGCUGUAGGUACCUUCCAGCAGGCCAGGCUCCUGAGCUGGGAUCACCAUGAAGCUGGCAUCUCUCCUGGUAGCACCUAUUCUGGGGCCUUGAGCUCCGACACUCUUACGCUGGAGUUGAACUUAAGCUGCAGCGGGAGGGCUUUAAGCUAGACCCGCAGAAUUUGAGCUCUAAGGACUUGCUUAAGAUUGGGAGAGUAACUUCUUCUGCAAGGGGGCCAGCAGAGGGGCUCUCGGGUUGAAGGAGGGUUAUGCUGGCCCAAGCAUUGCCAUCAUAGCCACAGCUGGGCUGUGCCUCAGAGUCUGCAGGAGCAGGGCCCUUGGCCUUGGCUCCCAGGACAGUUGGGAGAUGGAGGGCAGCCCCAGUAGCUGCCAUCUUCCUGUCAUCUACCCACACGUCUCCAGAUCUGUUUGCCUGCAUCAGGGCCUGACUCCUGCCCCACAUGGGCCUGUGUACCAUUCAAGAAGAAAGCUUAGCUGUCUCCAACCCCGGCAUUCCCACAAGGGAAAGCUUGAGAUCUGCUGAGGGAGGGUCCUGGGAAGAGGCCUUCUUCUGUUCUCCUGUACAGCAGAGGUGUUGGCAUGUGCACGUGUGUGUCUGCAUGUGUGUGCAUCUGUGAACAUCUGUCUGUGGCUCUCGUUCUGAGCACCUGUGUGUCUCCGCUUCUGCCUUGUUCUGUCUUGGCACCUCUGGGUGUCUGUAUGUCUUUUUCUAAUCCUGGCUCUCUUCUUGUGCUUCUCUGGGCCUCGUCUUUUCAUCUUUGUGUUUUUUGCUUACUGUAUUGUAAUAUCCAUUUCCAUGCUGGAAUUCUCCUACCAGACCAUGGGCUCUGUGAGGGCAAAGACUGUCUUUUAUCUUCCCAUGUGUGCACAUAGUAGGAGCCUAGUACAUUUCUGUGGAGUAAAUGAAUGGAGAUCUGGCUCUGUUAAGAAUCCCUUAGUGUCUGUGUCUCUGGCUGCCUGACUUUCUGGGUCUCUGUGACCCUCAGAAGCUAGUUUUGUGGUUCUGUGUAGGGGUAUACCUGGUUUAUUCCCAUGCAUAUGUGUAUUUCUUGUGGUAGUUUUUCUCUCCUUGUCUAUGUCUGUUUCAGGUUUGUUGAUCUGCCUGAAUGUCUCUGCAUGUGGCCCCACAUCUCUCCUCAUGCCUGCUGGUCUCAGAGUAUAAUGGAUGCUGAGUCCAAAGCAGGUGUUUCCUGGGCAUUCGUGGCAGGGGAAUUGGACUUCCAAAUCUGCCCCCUCUCCACGUGGGUGAGCUUCUCCCAGACUCUCCAUCAUAAGAGGCUGUGAGCACCCGAAACUGAUCACCUUCUCAGCCUAGAAUGGGAGUGAGCUGUGGUCCUCUCCCUCUCUUCCUCUCACUGUGACCCCAAUCACAGCACCUGCCCUUCUCUAAUUGGCUGAUGUCAAUGGAAGGGGGAAGGGAAGGCUGAUGUCCAAGGAGGAAAUCCCAUUAGAGAACAAGCACCAAGCCCUGUGGAUUUCAGAAGAACUCCACCUCCACAGAGUCCUCAAAGAUCUUCUCCUGAACUCCGCACUCCCCAGCCUUGAGAGGAGACACAGGAGCUGGAGGAAGCAGCUUUAUCCCUCACUUUGUGGUUCAGUCCAGCCUGUUUUCCAAGGGGUAAAGGGCAGUGGAAG
Molecule: long non-coding RNA, 2335 nt
Filed under: Homo sapiens (human)
Lineage: Eukaryota; Metazoa; Chordata; Mammalia; Primates; Hominidae
Description: novel transcript
Source: RNAcentral